This 490-nucleotide ribosomal RNA is filed under the name uncultured bacterium. RNAcentral's name for it is "partial 16S ribosomal RNA". It matches the Rfam family "Bacterial small subunit ribosomal RNA", at positions 30 to 523 of the family's 1533-position model. The record is from RNAcentral.
AUUGAACGCUGGCGGCAGGCCUAACACAUGCAAGUCGAGCGGGGGUAGCAAUACCCUAGCGGCGAACGGGUGAGGAAUGCUUGGGAAUCUGCCUGGUAGUGGGGGAUAACGUUCCGAAAGGAACGCUAAUACCGCAUACGUCCUACGGGAGAAAGGGGGGGAUCUUCGGACCUCUCGCUAUCAGCUGAGCCCAAGCGGGAGUAGCUAGUUGGUGGGGUAAAGGCCCACCAAGGCGACGAUCCCUAGCUGGUCUGAGAGGUUGAUCAGCCACACUGGAACUGGGACACGGUCAAGACUCCUACGGGGGGCAGCAGUGGGGAAUAUUGGACGAUGGGCGAAAGCCUGAUCCAGCCAUGCCGCGUGUGUGAAGAAGGCCUUCGGGUUGUAAAGCACUUUAAGCGAGGAGGAAGGUUCGUUACUUAAUACGUAACGGAAUUGACGUUACUCGCAGAAUAAGCACCGGCUAACUCUGUGCCAGCCGCCGCGGUAA